CCUUUGUGGCUUUCAGUUCAUACUGACUCACUUAGAUGGCAGACAACUUCUCAUUAAAACCCAACCUGGGGAAGUCGUUAAGCCUGGUAAGGAUUUUUCUGCUAACCCUUUUAUGAUAAAUGUCUUUACUUGCUGCUUUAAUAGUUGUCAUUAGCUGUCGACGAACCCUCUCUUCAUUUAUAGGUUGCUAUUUGACCUUUUGAUAUCUUGUAGUCGAUAUUUAUCUUUAUAAAUGAUUGACGAUUUCUCUUUGUUUAACAUAGAUCAAUUCAAAGCAAUAAACGAUGAAGGAAUGCCGAUUUAUCAGAGGCCAUUUAUGAGAGGUAAACUUUUCAUUCACUUCACUGUUGACUUCCCUGACUCGUUGACCCCAGACCAAUGCAAGGCACUGGAGGCUGUGCUUCCUCCCAAGGCAUCGGUUCAGCUGACUGACAUGGAGCUGGAUGAGUGCGAGGAAACAACCAUGCAUGAUGUUAAC
This 478-nucleotide long non-coding RNA is filed under the name Gossypium barbadense (sea-island cotton). Its description in RNAcentral is "long non-coding RNA (GBAR_LNC017409)". The record is from RNAcentral. Lineage: Eukaryota; Viridiplantae; Streptophyta; Magnoliopsida; Malvales; Malvaceae.